GAGUUUGAUCCUGGCUCAGAUUGAACGCUGGCGGCAUGCCUUACACAUGCAAGUCGAACGGCAGCACGGGAGCAAUCCUGGUGGCGAGUGGCGAACGGGUGAGUAAUAUAUCGGAACGUGCCCAGUCGUGGGGGAUAACGCAGCGAAAGCUGUGCUAAUACCGCAUACGAUCUCUGGAUGAAAGCGGGGGACUCGCAAGAGCCUCGCGCGAUUGGAGCGGCCGAUAUCAGAUUAGCUAGUUGGUGGGGUAAAAGCUCACCAAGGCGACGAUCUGUAGCUGGUCUGAGAGGACGACCAGCCACACUGGAACUGAGACACGGUCCAGACUCCUACGGGAGGCAGCAGUGGGGAAUUUUGGACAAUGGGCGCAAGCCUGAUCCAGCAAUGCCGCGUGCAGGAUGAAGGCCUUCGGGUUGUAAACUGCUUUUGUACGGAACGAAACGGCUCUUUCUAAUAAAGAGGGCUAAUGACGGUACCGUAAGAAUAAGCACCGGCUAACUACGUGCCAGCAGCCGCGGUAAUACGUAGGGUGCGAGCGUUAAUCGGAAUUACUGGGCGUAAAGCGUGCGCAGGCGGUGAUGUAAGACAGAUGUGAAAUCCCCGGGCUCAACCUGGGACCUGCAUUUGUGACUGCAUCGCUAGAGUACGGUAGAGGGGGAUGGAAUUCCGCGUGUAGCAGUGAAAUGCGUAGAUAUGCGGAGGAACACCGA
This 710-nucleotide ribosomal RNA is filed under the name uncultured bacterium. RNAcentral's name for it is "bacterial SSU rRNA". It matches the Rfam family "Bacterial small subunit ribosomal RNA", at positions 9 to 712 of the family's 1533-position model. The record is from RNAcentral.